RNAcentral lists this non-coding RNA (31 nucleotides) under Homo sapiens (human). Lineage: Eukaryota; Metazoa; Chordata; Mammalia; Primates; Hominidae. The record is from RNAcentral.
UCGGCCAGAAGAUCAAGGGGUUCAGUCCACC